This 312-nucleotide ribosomal RNA is filed under the name Triticum aestivum (bread wheat). Its description in RNAcentral is "partial small subunit ribosomal RNA". The record is from RNAcentral. Lineage: Eukaryota; Viridiplantae; Streptophyta; Magnoliopsida; Poales; Poaceae.
AUGGCAGUUGACCGCGCCGACAAGGAGAAUCUGCCGCCUGCGUCGGCGGCCGCCGCCCGUCCUCAUGGCGUAGUAGCCGUCAGGACCUGCAAGCUGAAGCGGCUCGGGAGGGCGCGGAGGCGGGCGCCGCUCAGGGACAUCACCAACCUCAUCGUUGCCGAGUCCGCGGUCGCCGAGUGGCAGCAGGCCCUGCUCCAGCAGCCGCACGAGGAGUCGGCAGCGGCGCCGCCGGAGCUGGCCUUGAAGAACGGGUCUGCCGGCGGUGCGGUACUGAAGCCUGGCAGAUACUUGCUCCGGAAGGAGUUUAGAUAG